GGAAUAUUGGACAAUGGGCGAAAGCCUGAUCCAGCCAUGCCGCGUGGAUGAAGAAGGCCCUAGGGUUGUAAAGUCCUUUCAACGGUGAAGAUAAUGACGGUAACCGUAGAAGAAGCCCCGGCUAAUUUCGUGCCAGCAGCCGCGGUAAUACGAAAGGGGCUAGCGUUGUUCGGCAUUACUGGGCGUAAAGCGCACGUAGGCGGCCAUGUAAGUUGGGGGUGAAAUCCCGGGGCUCAACCCCGGAACUGCCUUCAAAACUACAUAGCUAGAGGAUGCGAGAGGAUAGUGGAAUUCCGAGUGUAGAGGUGAAAUUCGUAGAUAUUCGGAAGAACACCAGUGGCGAAGGCGACUGUCUGGCGCAUUUCUGACGCUGAGGUGCGAAAGCGUGGGGAGCAAA
RNAcentral lists this ribosomal RNA (397 nucleotides) under uncultured bacterium. RNAcentral describes it as "bacterial SSU rRNA". It matches the Rfam family "Bacterial small subunit ribosomal RNA", at positions 358 to 772 of the family's 1533-position model. The record is from RNAcentral.